AGCUUGCUUGUUGGGGUUGUAGGACUGAACAUUAGAGUUACCAAAGUGCGACGUAGUCGCAACAGUUGGGAAGCUGUGCCAUAGAGGGUGAAAGCCCCGUAGACGAAACGUCGCACUCUCUGUUCAGGAUCCUGAGUACGGCGGGACACGUGAAACCCCGUCGGAACCCGCGAGGACCAUCUCGCAAGGCUAAAUACUCCCUAGUGACCGAUAGUGAACCAGUACCGUGAGGGAAAGGUG
Molecule: ribosomal RNA, 240 nt
Filed under: Limosilactobacillus reuteri
Lineage: Bacteria; Bacillati; Bacillota; Bacilli; Lactobacillales; Lactobacillaceae
Also listed under: 1 other name
Description: Lactobacillus reuteri partial 23S ribosomal RNA
Rfam family: Bacterial large subunit ribosomal RNA
Source: RNAcentral